GUGCAGCAGUUGCGAAAACUUGUCACUGCACAAAUGUGUGAACGGGCUACCCCGCGUGCCGUCCGCUGAGGAUGGCUUUUCUCUGCUGUAAGAAGGCAGAGGAAUAAGGAGAGGGCAAGUCUGGUGUCAGCCGCCGCGGUAAUACCAGCUCUCCGCGUGGUAGGGAUGAUUAUUGGGCAUAAAGCGUCCGUAGCUGGCCUUUCAAGUCUCUUGUUAAAUCCAGCGAUUCAAUCGUUGGACUGCGGGAGAUACUGUUAGGCUAGGGGACGGGAGAAGCCGACGGUAUUUCCGGGGUAGGGGUAAAAUCCUAUAAUCCCGGAAAGACCACCAGUGGCGAAGGCUGUCGGCUAGAACGCGCCCGACGGUGAGGGAUGAAAGCUGGGGGAGCGAACCGGAUUAGAUACCCGGGUAGUCC
Molecule: ribosomal RNA, 415 nt
Filed under: uncultured crenarchaeote
Lineage: Archaea; Thermoproteati; Thermoproteota
Description: partial 16S ribosomal RNA
Rfam family: Archaeal small subunit ribosomal RNA
Source: RNAcentral